CUACGGGGCGCAGCAGUGGGGAAUAUUGCACAAUGGGCGCAAGCCUGAUGCAGCCAUGCCGCGUGUAUGAAGAAGGCCUUCGGGUUGUAAAGUACUUUCAGCGGGGAGGAACGGAGUAAAGUUAAUACCUUUGCUCAUUGACGUUACCCGCAGAAGCAGCACCGGCUAACUCCGUGCCAGCAGCCGCGGUAAUACGGAGGUGCAAGCGUUAAUCGGAAUUACUGGGCGUAAAGCGCACGCAGGCGGUUUGUUAAGUCAGAUGUGAAAUCCCCGGGCUCAACCUGGGAACUGCAUCUGAUACUGGCAAGCUUGAGUGUCGUAGAGGGGGGGAGAAUUCCAGGUGUAGCGGUGAAAUGCGUAGAGAUCUGGAGGAAUACCGGUGGCGAAGGCGGCCCCCUGGACGAAGACUGACGCUCAGGUGCGAAAGCGUGGGGAGCAAACAGGAUUAGAUACCCGUGUAGUC
This 463-nucleotide ribosomal RNA is filed under the name uncultured bacterium. RNAcentral's name for it is "partial 16S ribosomal RNA". It matches the Rfam family "Bacterial small subunit ribosomal RNA", at positions 339 to 795 of the family's 1533-position model. The record is from RNAcentral.